Molecule: long non-coding RNA, 101 nt
Organism: Aricia agestis (brown argus)
Lineage: Eukaryota; Metazoa; Arthropoda; Insecta; Lepidoptera; Lycaenidae
Exons: 3
Source: RefSeq, a predicted model, not a curated record
UAAUAAUAAUUAAUUAAUUUGUUUAGUGCGCGCGGAACUAGUAGGCCGCGCCUUAGGUAUGUGAGCGGUGGGACGGAGAGGCGGGGGCGCUUGAUUUUGAC